AUUGAACGCUGGCGGCGUGCCUAACACAUGCAAGUCGAGCGGUAACAGGUGUAGCAAUACAUGCUGACGAGCGGCGAACGGGUGAGUAAUGCUUCGGAAUCUACCCAAUGGUGGGGAAUAACCAGCCGAAAGGUUGGCUAAUACCGCAUACGUCCUACGGGAGAAAGCAGGGGAUCGUAAGACCUUGCGCCAAUGGAUGAGCCGAAGUCGGAUUAGCUAGUGGUAGGGUAACGGCCUACCAAGGCGACGAUCCGUAGCUGGUCUGAGAGGACGACCAGCCACACUGGGACUGAGACACGGCCCAGACUCCUACGGGAGGCAGCAGUGGGAAUAUUGGACAAUGGGGAAACCCUGAUCCAGCGACGCCGCGUGUGUGAAGAAGGCCUGCGGGUUGUAAAGCACUUUUAGUGGGGAUGAAAAGUUCAGGGCUAAUACCCCUGGAUCUUGACCUAACCCACAAG
RNAcentral lists this ribosomal RNA (461 nucleotides) under uncultured bacterium. RNAcentral describes it as "bacterial SSU rRNA". It matches the Rfam family "Bacterial small subunit ribosomal RNA", at positions 30 to 485 of the family's 1533-position model. The record is from RNAcentral.